UACAAACUCGAGAAAGGCGCCCCACGACAUCAUUCACGACUUCAAGCUUUUCAAGAUGCACUCUCAGAUUGUAUGUUAGAGGAUAUUGGCUACGAGGGUGACAAAUUUACGUGGUUUCGUGGGGGUCUACGGGAGAGACUUGAUCGGGCCGUGGCUAAUGCCGGUUGGAUUCUCAUGCAUCCGCUGGCAGGUUUGUGUAAUCUCGAAAUGGGCAAGUCGGACCACUGGCCCAUACUCCUUGACACGGAUCAUCUUUUUGGAGUGGCCAACAGCAGCCCCAUUCAUAAGAAAAAGUUUGAAGCCCGGUGGCUGGCUGAAGAUACAGUUGAAGAGAUCGUUAAAACGGCCUGGCAAAAGGCUAACCAUCGGGGUUUUGUGUAA
Molecule: ribosomal RNA, 381 nt
Filed under: Triticum aestivum (bread wheat)
Lineage: Eukaryota; Viridiplantae; Streptophyta; Magnoliopsida; Poales; Poaceae
Description: partial small subunit ribosomal RNA
Source: RNAcentral